This 470-nucleotide ribosomal RNA is filed under the name Aspergillus terreus. RNAcentral describes it as "eukaryotic LSU rRNA". The stretch from base 181 to 335 matches the Rfam family "5.8S ribosomal RNA". The record is from RNAcentral. Lineage: Eukaryota; Fungi; Ascomycota; Eurotiomycetes; Eurotiales; Aspergillaceae.
GCGGGUCNUUAUGGCCCAACCUCCCACCCGGACUAUUGUACUUUGUGGCUUCGGCGGGCCCGCCAGCGUUGCUGGCCGCCGGGGGGCGACUCGCCCCCGGGCCCGUGCCCGCCGGAGACCCCAACAUGAACCCUGUUCUGAAAGCUUGCAGUCUGAGUGUGAUUCUUUGCAAUCAGUUAAAACUUUCAACAAUGGAUCUCUUGGUUCCGGCAUCGAUGAAGAACGCAGCGAAAUGCGAUAACUAAUGUGAAUUGCAGAAUUCAGUGAAUCAUCGAGUCUUUGUAACGCACAUUGCGCCCCCUGGUAUUCCGGGGGGCAUGCCUGUCCGAGCGUCAUUGCUGCCCUCAAGCCCGGCUUGUGCUGUUGGGCCGUCGUCCCCCGGCUCCCGGGGGACGGGCCCGAAAGGCAGCGGCGGCACCGCGUCCGGUCCUCGAGCGUAGGGGCUUCGUCUUCCGCUCCGUAGGCCCGGC